This 301-nucleotide ribosomal RNA is filed under the name uncultured bacterium. RNAcentral's name for it is "partial 16S ribosomal RNA". It matches the Rfam family "Bacterial small subunit ribosomal RNA", at positions 509 to 808 of the family's 1533-position model. The record is from RNAcentral.
CAGCCGCCGCGGUAAGACGAACCGUGCAAACGUUGCUCGGAAUCACUGGGCUUAAAGCGCACGUAGGCGGCGACAUAAGUUAGAGGUGAAAUCCCAUCGGCUCAACCGUGGAACUGCCUCUAAUACUGUGUUGCUUGAGGGAGAACGGGGCAUUCGGAACUUCCGGUGGAGCGGUGAAAUGUGUUGAUAUCGGAAGGAACGCCGGUGGCGAAAGCGGAAUGCUGGGUCUCUUCUGACGCUGAGGUGCGAAAGCUAGGGUAGCGAACGGGAUUAGAUACCCCGGUAGUCCCUGUCUCUUAUA